AGCUCCAAUAGCGUAUAUUAAAGUUGUUGCGGUUAAAAAGCUCGUAGUUGGAUCUCGGCAGGCAGGGGGUGGUUCGCUCCUUAGCGCUACUGCCCCAUUUGCCUGUGUGAUUGGCAGAGGUUUCGGGGUGCCCUUUAUUGCGUGACCCGGCGCGCUGUCAGGUUUACUUUGAAAAAAUUAGAGUGCUCAAAGCAGGCUAAAAUGCCUGAAUAUUCGUGCAUGGAAUAAUAGAAUAGGAUGUCGAUCCUAUUUUGUUGGUUUUCGGGACUCGACAUAAUGAUAAAUAGGGACAGUCGGGGGCAUUUGUAUUCAAACGACAGAGGUGAAAUUCUUGGACCGUUUGAAGACAAACUACUGCGAAAGCAUUUGCCAAGAAUGUUUUCA
Molecule: ribosomal RNA, 384 nt
Filed under: marine copepod environmental sample
Lineage: Eukaryota; Metazoa; Arthropoda; Copepoda
Description: SSU rRNA
Rfam family: Eukaryotic small subunit ribosomal RNA
Source: RNAcentral